RNAcentral lists this ribosomal RNA (464 nucleotides) under uncultured bacterium. RNAcentral's name for it is "partial 16S ribosomal RNA". It matches the Rfam family "Bacterial small subunit ribosomal RNA", at positions 28 to 507 of the family's 1533-position model. The record is from RNAcentral.
GACGAACGCUGGCGGCGUGCUUAACACAUGCAAGUCGAACGGUGAGGCCCUUUCGGGGGUACACGAGUGGCGAACGGGUGAGUAACACGUGGGUGAUCUGCCCUGCACUUUGGGAUAAGCCUGGGAAACUGGGUCUAAUACCGGAUAGGACUACGCGAUGCAUGUCGUGUGGUGGAAAGCUUUUGCGGUGUGGGAUGGGCCCGCGGCCUAUCAGCUUGUUGGUGGGGUGAUGGCCUACCAAGGCGACGACGGGUAGCCGGCCUGAGAGGGUGUCCGGCCACACUGGGACUGAGAUACGGCCCAGACUCCUACGGGAGGCAGCAGUGGGGAAUAUUGCACAAUGGGCGCAAGCCUGAUGCAGCGACGCCGCGUGGGGGAUGACGGCCUUCGGGUUGUAAACCCCUUUCAGCACAGACGAAGCGUAAGUGACGGUAUGUGCAGAAGAAGCACCGGCCAACUACGUG